GGAUAAUUUAAUCGAAUAUUCUCUUUGUUUUGUUUACAUAGCAUUUAUUGAGCACCUACUAAGUGCCUGUUCUGGAGACACAGAAGCUGCAGAGAAAGGGAAGAUCCUGGCCCUGUAGUGUUUAUAUUCAGAGGGGGGAGCAAAAACGUCACCCUCGGAUAUCCAGUCUGCACAAAUGUCAUCUUCUCCCAGAGGUGCUGACCUGCAGUUGGUGACAGUGCUUUGCUGCCAUGGAAGGCUCCGGACCAUGUCGCCAGCCCAGCAAUCCAUUGCUCGACUUCAUUAACCACAGGAAGACAUUAAGUGAAUGUAAGGACCAGAACAGCCUGGAAACCAUGUGAUGAGCAGCCUUUAAGUUCUGGGCUCUGGUAUAUUUUAUGCCACCUUGACUGUGUAUCAAGCUCUCCUUCCUGGACUCAUUAGAACUGUGUGCCCAAAGGUACCCCUCAACUCUCAGAAGCAAAUAGAGAAUGAUAUAAUUCACUCUGAGAACACCUUUCUGUCUUAUCCAGAGCGUGUCUUAGCUAUUAUGAUUAGGCAUUAGGCAU
Molecule: long non-coding RNA, 548 nt
Filed under: Suricata suricatta (meerkat)
Lineage: Eukaryota; Metazoa; Chordata; Mammalia; Carnivora; Herpestidae
Description: lncRNA (ENSSSUG00005015402.1)
Source: RNAcentral